UACGUAGGAUGCAAGCGUUGUCCGGAAUUAUUGGGCGUAAAGAGCGCGCAGGCGGUUUUACAAGUCAGAUGUGAAAGAAGCCGGCUUAACCGGCAAGGGUCAUUUGAAACUGUGAGACUAGAGUGCAGCAGAGGAUAGCGGAAUUCCCGGUGUAGUGGUGAAAUGCGUAGAUAUCGGGAGGAACACCAGUGGCGAAGGCGGCUAUCUGGGCUGCAACUGACGCUGAGGCGCGAAGGCUAGGGUAGCAAACAGG
RNAcentral lists this ribosomal RNA (253 nucleotides) under uncultured bacterium. RNAcentral's name for it is "partial 16S ribosomal RNA". It matches the Rfam family "Bacterial small subunit ribosomal RNA", at positions 524 to 776 of the family's 1533-position model. The record is from RNAcentral.